This 42-nucleotide microRNA precursor is filed under the name Vombatus ursinus (common wombat). Its description in RNAcentral is "miRNA (ENSVURG00010000864.1)". The record is from RNAcentral. Lineage: Eukaryota; Metazoa; Chordata; Mammalia; Diprotodontia; Vombatidae.
AGAAAUCUGUCAGGGCGUGGGCGCUGGCUUAUCAAUGACGCA